This 416-nucleotide ribosomal RNA is filed under the name uncultured bacterium. Its description in RNAcentral is "bacterial SSU rRNA". It matches the Rfam family "Bacterial small subunit ribosomal RNA", at positions 95 to 524 of the family's 1533-position model. The record is from RNAcentral.
UUGGCGGACGGGUGAGAAACACGUGAGCAACCUACCUUUUGCAGGGGAAUAACAGUGGGAAACCACUGCUAAUACCGCAUAACAUCACGAGGGGACAUCCUCUUGUGAUCAAAGGAGAAAUCCGGCAGGAGAUGGGCUCGCGUCCGAUUAGUUAGUUGGCGGGGUAACGGCCCACCAAGACCGCGAUCGGUAGCCGACCUGAGAGGGUGAUCGGCCACAUUGGAACUGAGACACGGUCCAAACUCCUACGGGAGGCAGCAGUGGGGAAUAUUGCACAAUGGGCGAAAGCCUGAUGCAGCAACGCCGCGUGAAGGAUGAAGGCCUUUGGGUCGUAAACUUCUGUCCUUGGGGAGGAAAAAAAUGACGGUACCCCUGGAGGAAGUCCCGGCUAACUACGUGCCAGCAGCCGCGGUAAU